CAAUAGCGUAUAUUAAAGUUGUUGCGGUUAAAAAGCUCGUAGUUGGAUUUCUGUUGGGAACGACCGGUCCGCCCAUUGGGUGUGUAUCUGGCUUGUUCUCGGCAUCUUCUUGGUGAACGUUGCUGCACUUGACUGUGUGGAGCGCUACCCAGGACUUUUACUUUGAGGAAAUUAGAGUGUUUCAAGCAGGCAUAUGCCUUGAAUACAUUAGCAUGGAAUAAUAAGAUAGGACCUCGGUUCUAUUUUGUUGGUUUCUAGAGCUGAGGUAAUGAUUAAUAGGGAUAGUUGGGGGCAUUCGUAUUUAACUGUCAGAGGUGAAAUUCUCGGAUUUGUUAAAGACGGACUACUGCGAAAGCAUUUGCCAAGGAUGUUUUCAUUGA
Molecule: ribosomal RNA, 380 nt
Filed under: uncultured eukaryote
Lineage: Eukaryota
Description: partial 18S ribosomal RNA
Rfam family: Eukaryotic small subunit ribosomal RNA
Source: RNAcentral